This 86-nucleotide non-coding RNA is filed under the name Stieleria varia. The record is from RNAcentral. Lineage: Bacteria; Pseudomonadati; Planctomycetota; Planctomycetia; Pirellulales; Pirellulaceae.
CGACCAGGGUGACCUGACUCGUGCUCUGAGAAGUCAGCAGAGGUCAUUGUACCGAUCUGCCGCAAUCCAGCGGCAACGGAAAGGAC